GUGCUCAGUUUGGCAGUACAUAGAGUAAAAUUGGAACCAUUCAAAGAAGAAAAGGAUGGUCCCUAUGUAAAGAUGACAUGCAAAUUUAUUAGUGCUCCAUAAAUUUUU
Small nuclear RNA from Suncus etruscus (white-toothed pygmy shrew), 108 nucleotides. The record is from RefSeq and is a predicted model, not a curated record. Lineage: Eukaryota; Metazoa; Chordata; Mammalia; Eulipotyphla; Soricidae.